This 497-nucleotide ribosomal RNA is filed under the name uncultured bacterium. RNAcentral describes it as "partial 16S ribosomal RNA". It matches the Rfam family "Bacterial small subunit ribosomal RNA", at positions 28 to 507 of the family's 1533-position model. The record is from RNAcentral.
GAUGAACGCUGGCGGCGUGCCUAAUACAUGCAAGUCGAGCGAACAGACGAGGAGCUUGCUCCUUUGACGUUAGCGGCGGACGGGUGAGUAACACGUGGGUAACCUACCUAUAAGACUGGGAUAACUUCGGGAAACCGGAGCUAAUACCGGAUAAUAUUUCGAACCGCAUGGUUCGAUAGUGAAAGAUGGCUUUGCUAUCACUUAUAGAUGGACCUGCGCCGUAUUAGCUAGUUGGUAAGGUAACGGCUUACCAAGGCAACGAUACGUAGCCGACCUGAGAGAGUGAUCGGCCACACUGGAGCUGAGCCACGGUCCAGACUCCUACGGGAGGCAGCAGUAGGGAAUCUUCCGCAAUGGGCGAAAGCCUGACGGAGCGACGCCGCGUGAGUGAUGAAGGUCUCCGGAUCGUAAAACUCUGUUAUUAGGGAAGAACAAACGUGUAAGUAACUGUGCACGUCUUGACGGUACCUAAUCAGAAAGCCACGGCUAACUACGUG